This 2492-nucleotide long non-coding RNA is filed under the name Homo sapiens (human). Its description in RNAcentral is "HSALNT0225784". Lineage: Eukaryota; Metazoa; Chordata; Mammalia; Primates; Hominidae. The record is from RNAcentral.
UUUUGGAAUUGGCACCCAUACUUAGGGGGAGGCCUUAUCCCUGCUCCUCUCAUCACAGCUGUUUGGCACAGUAAUACUGAUGAGCAGUAGGCAAUUGUCAUAAUCAACAAUUCAGAAAUAUUACAAUCACCAGUUCAUAAAUUCGUUUCUUACCUUUUCUUUACUUUCUUCUAAAAAGGAAAUGGGAAUGCAUUGUUUUAUUUAUUGUAUCUAUAUCUUGGGAUAACUGCUAUUACUAUUUUCAUUUUACAGAUAAUGAAAUAAAGCUCAAAGAGGCUCAGUUUCCAAGAUUACACAACCAGAAAUGACAGAAGAUGGGUCCCUCUGGGAUUCACGCUCCUCUGCUGGGAGUUUCACACCAUUCGCCAUGUCAACAUGAAGCAACAGCUGGGUUGAAGAGAGCCGAUAAAAAUAGCAGCAUCACACUGCAAGCAAGCUGCAUAGAAAAGAAGGGGAGUCACGUACUUAAUGCAGGGUGGCAUUGAUUUCUUGUCUUCCCAGUCCAGUGGUGUAUUUCUCGGACCAUCUACUUUUUCAGAAAGAGCAAAGUGAGCUGCUUGUCCAUGUAAGUGUUGGCUAGGACAAUGAGGAGAGGGCAGAUAGCUCCUGCUCUCCUGCUCUCCCACUGCUCCCUUGUUGGCCCCUGGUACGCCUGAUUGCUAACUGGCAGAUCAGGCAACUAGACAGCGUAGCCCCUGAACCAGUGAGCCCAGCCAACUCUGGGAACUUGGUUUUCAAGAUUGCUGUGAGUUGCUGCAGAAACUUCCUGCUGUUACCCUAUCUUUCCAUUCAUUAAAGUGUAGCUUGCAAUUGAACAUUCUGACAUAACAUAGCUGAGAUUUUUGGCAGCGAUGUUAACCAUAUUCAAGAGUUUCCUUCAGACGACGUUAAGUUUUUAUAUCCUCAUGAAUGCUUGCCACCUUCCUUUAAUAACUUGAAAAAACAAGCUUCUCUCAGGAACGUCAUUGUUCCAAUAUUUCCCCAGCACACAUUUACUCCUUUUAGACGUGCGUUAGGUGUGUGUAUAUUUAUAAAGUCUGGGUGUACCUAGGUGGGUUAGAAUUGGACAUCUUAUAAAAAGUCAGCAAUCUGAAUGGACCUUAGAGAAGAGGUAUUAGAAGUCUAGUAUUUUCUUCGUAAGAUCUUAUUUUUCUGCUUCUAAACUAUUCGUUCGUUUCACCACAAAACUGUAUUUUAUCAAAAAGAGUAUAUUCACUAACCCUCACUCAGCCUUGGGGUGUGAAAUAGCCUUUUACAUUUCUAAAGCAAAAACUUACAGAAAAGUUAAAAAAGGGUAAAAUGAGGGUUUCCUUCCCUUCCUCCAUAGUGAAAAAUGUAGCCUUAUUGUGUACAGACAUCACAGUAGAAUUUUAAAGUAGAAAAUUGAUUGGUUUAAAUUUCCAGCUACUGAGAUAACUGAAAAUCUUUAAAAACCCAUUCUCAUUAAAAUGCAAAGUAAUAGCGCAAAAUGCAAUGAAAAGCCAAACUGAAUUUGUAAUUUUUAAGUGCCCCCACAAAUGGGAAGUUUGUAGUCUUCUUGGAUGGCCAGUGGCUUUAGUAAGUUCUCCAAAUCCACUGUGGUGCUUGUUUGCAGGCAGAAUUAUCACAGCAGAGUUACUGUUCCCUGAAACUUUAAACAGUGUUAUGUAAUGUCACACAAUGUGGUUAACUGAGAUUUUAACACAAAUUAUGGCAUUAUUGAACCCAACAGGCUCCACUUAGAUUUGUCUUUUUUUUUUUUUUUGGUGGUUUUUUUUUUUUUUUUUUUUUGAGAUGGAGUCUCGCUCUGUCACCCAGGCUAAAUUACAGUGUGCAAUCUCAGCUCACUGCCUCCGCCUCCUGGGUUCAAGUGAUUCUCCUGCCUCACCUCCACAGUAGAUGGGACUACAGGUGCGCACCACCACAGCCGGCUAAUUUUUGUAUUUUUAGUAGGGAUGGAAUUUCGGGGUUUCACCAUGUUGGCCAGGCUUGGACUCCUGACCUCAAGUGAUCUGUCCACCUCAGCCUCCUAGAGUGCUAGGAUUACAGGUGUGAGCCACCGUGCCUGGCCUCCACUUAGAUUUGGAAAUUGACAUACAGCUGUGGUACUGCAUCCCUAAUCUACUCCUUAUGCAAAUAUACAAGGUGUAGGCUACUCUAGGGCCAGAGCAGCAGUGGUAUUAGUGACUUACUUCAUCUUGAAUUCACAGAGAAAGUCUUAGUAUCCUCUAUUUUACAGAUGAGGAAAGAGACGCUAAGAGAAAUUGAGGAACUUUGCUGACCUGAUGUAACUAGAUGGGACUAGAAACCUUGGCUCGCGGACCACAGAGUUGACAUUACAGCCAUUCACAUGAGUUUGCAUUUGUCAUCUGAACCUUCUGGAUUUCUAUCAUGUCACUUGCUGCGGUCUCUUGUAUUUGUGGGAAUUAAAAUUAAAUUGUGAUGGUUUUUAUUGACUUCUUUUCCCAAACAUGUGCAACACCAAACAGAAAAUAAAAGAUCACAGAUGGGAC